Long non-coding RNA from Oreochromis aureus, 526 nucleotides. The record is from Ensembl. NCBI's taxonomy places the organism in Eukaryota, Metazoa, Chordata, Actinopteri, Cichliformes, Cichlidae.
AGGCAAGCCAGGUGACAGAGCUGUUGCAGACGCUGAUUACUGUGAGCCAGAGCCAUAGUGUUGUUUUGCACUGAACAGAACGGAAUUGGCCAGGUGAACCUUUUUGGGUAUGAAAAAGGAUGGCGAGCCAAUGAACGGCUAGGAGCAGGACUCAUUCUGCAUUGAAGCUUCCACUGGUUGGGUAGGAAGCUAUCAAAGACGACGCUCUGUCCCCAUUUUCCAAAUACACUAAUUUCCACAAUCAUACACACCAUUCCCCCCGUUUAUGGACAAUAGCGCUUGGACAUCUCUCAUGGACAUUCAGAUAAAACUCAUGGACUUCAGUGUGGAUCAGUGGUUUUGAUGUUAACAUGUGUUAUUUAUGGGGAACUGUUUUUUGAGAAUCUAUAUUGCUUGGUAUAAGCCAGAAGAAUUUGCUUAGUUGUCUUUGUGCACCCCCAUUGGGUUUUUGAUUAAUUGAAUAGCUGCAGCAGGAGUGAUUAUUUAAGCUUUUCUUUUCUUAUUUUUCUUUGGGUUUUGGUUAAAU